This 600-nucleotide ribosomal RNA is filed under the name uncultured bacterium. Its description in RNAcentral is "bacterial SSU rRNA". It matches the Rfam family "Bacterial small subunit ribosomal RNA", at positions 46 to 695 of the family's 1533-position model. The record is from RNAcentral.
GCCUACCAUGCAAGUCGAGCGCACCUUCGGGUGAGCGGCGGACGGGUUAGUAACGCCCUGGGAACGUACCCUUUUCUACGGAAUAGCCUUUGGAAACGAAGAGUAAUACCGUAUACGCCCUUUGGGGGAAAGAUUUAUCGGAGAAGGAUCGGCCCGCGUUAGAUUAGAUAGUUGGUGGGGUAACGGCCUACCAAGUCUACGAUCUAUAGCUGGUUUUAGAGGAUGAUCAGCAACACUGGGACUGAGACACGGCCCAGACUCCUACGGGAGGCAGCAGUGGGGAAUCUUAGACAAUGGGCGCAAGCCUGAUCUAGCCAUGCCGCGUGAGUGAUGAAGGCCUUAGGGUCGUAAAGCUCUUUCGCCUGUGAUGAUAAUGACAGUAGCAGGUAAAGAAACCCCGGCUAACUCCGUGCCAGCAGCCGCGGUAAUACGGAGGGGGUUAGCGUUGUUCGGAAUUACUGGGCGUAAAGCGCACGUAGGCGGAUUGGAAAGUUGGGGGUGAAAUCCCGGGGCUCAACCCCGGAACUGCCUCCAAAACUAUCAGUCUAGAGUUCGAGAGAGGUGAGUGGAAUUCCAAGUGUAGAGGUGAAAUUCGUAGAU